This 465-nucleotide ribosomal RNA is filed under the name uncultured bacterium. RNAcentral describes it as "bacterial SSU rRNA". It matches the Rfam family "Bacterial small subunit ribosomal RNA", at positions 926 to 1391 of the family's 1533-position model. The record is from RNAcentral.
CAAGCGGUGGAGCAUGUGGUUUAAUUCGAUGCAACGCGAAGAACCUUACCUACUCUUGACAUCCAGCGAACUUAGCAGAGAUGCUUUGGUGCCUUCGGGAACGCUGAGACAGGUGCUGCAUGGCUGUCGUCAGCUCGUGUUGUGAAAUGUUGGGUUAAGUCCCGCAACGAGCGCAACCCUUAUCCUUUGUUGCCAGCGAUUCGGUCGGGAACUCAAAGGAGACUGCCGGUGAUAAACCGGAGGAGGGUGGGGAUGACGUCAAGUCAUCAUGGCCCUUACGAGUAGGGCUACACACGUGCUACAAUGGCGCAUACAAAGAGAAGCGACCUCGCGAGAGCAAGCGGACCUCACAAAGUGCGUCGUAGUCCGGAUCGGAGUCUGCAACUCGACUCCGUGAAGUCGGAAUCGCUAGUAAUCGUGGAUCAGAAUGCCACGGUGAAUACGUUCCCGGGCCUUGUACACACC